RNA transcript from Schistocerca gregaria, 4176 nucleotides. RefSeq lists it as uncharacterized. The record is from RefSeq and is a predicted model, not a curated record. Lineage: Eukaryota; Metazoa; Arthropoda; Insecta; Orthoptera; Acrididae. The transcript is spliced from 4 exons.
AUUAGGAAGUCUCCCUUAGUGUCAAGUGUCACAGCUAUCACAGUAGGCAUAAACCAUGUUUCUCAUAGGCUCUGCACUAUUUAUUGUUACUGAAUUGCUAUUAUUGCAAGUAAGUGUGAUCCAGUGUCUUAGUCUAUGCCAGGAGGAAGGUUGGUCAUGUGAAGUAGAAGGUAAAUCUGUGAACUUACUGUACCAUUGUAAUGAAGACAUUGGGUGGAAUGCUGUCUUUGAGGAGAGUGUACUGACAGUACCUGAUGGAACACACAGCAUAACAAUUACGGACUGCUAUGAUGUUAUGAUUCCACUGUCAUUCAGUUUCCAUAGUGAUUUGAAUCAGAGGCUGCCAAAGCUCAGUAUAAAUAAUGUUGCUAGUCUGCUCUUGACAGCAGCUCCUGAUACAUUAUCCACUCCACAAAAUAUUAUUCUGAAUAACAUUCAUUGGUUGGACUGUAUAAAAAGGAACACUUUCUCAGGAGACUGGCAGUCUAUAGCAUUUUCCAAUGUAACCAUUGACAGAAUUGACAUGUAUGCAUUUGCAGAACUUAAUGUUGCUGUGCACAUUGAAUGGGACAAUGUGAAUGUAAACCUUUUAGAUACAAACGCUAUUGCCAAUGUUUUUAUUGAAGAAGGAAGUUUCAAAAUAAAAAAUUCUGUCAUUGAAACUAUGGAAAUAAUGUCAUUUGGAAUAAAAGCUUCAAAGAGAAUGAAGAAUCUGUAUGGAGCAGCAUAUCUGUCCAAAACCACCAUUGUGGAAUGGUGCAACAAAGGGUGCUGCUGCUUCAUGAUAACGCUUGUGGGCGAAUUGCAAAUGUUGUAAUGCAGAAAUUACACCAACUCUGGUGGAAGACACUUAAACACCUGCUCUAUCGUUCUGAUUCAAUUCCUUUUGGACAAGGAUGUGCAGCAGGCAGUUAUAGACUUCUCCACGUGUUGUUAUUGAAAAUUCGCAUAUCAAAGAUAUUCGACUACAUGCAUUUAAUAUUGAAGCUGAAACAUUCAUAAUGGUAAAUAAUUCAGGAUUCAGAUCAGUAAUGCCUGGAGGAUUCAUCAUUUCUGCACAUCAUAUUGAAAUAAGUAGAAAUAGAUUUGGUUAUUUAAUGACUAGGUCAUUAGAAAACAUAAGAUCAAAUUUAUUGUCGCAUUCUACCAACCCCACCUACAUUUUUAAGCAGAAUUACAUUGAAUCUGCAGAUGUAGGAUCUCUUCACUGUAAUGUUUCUUCCUAUACUGAACAUAAUGGUAUAAUAUACAUAUCAGAUAAUAAAUUUGUCUGUUCAUGUAUUCAUUUAAGUUGGAUCACACAGAUUGCAGAUUCAGAACCAGAACUUGCUCAGUUUUACAAAACACUAUUGGAAAAUGAUAAAAACAAUACUUGCUCUAUAGGUCUGUGCAGUUUCCCCCUCAGUUCAUUGCGGAAAAUGAUAAACACAGAAUAUCAGUGUGUUGCAAACAUUACUUAUGAUGAAAUAUGUAAUCUUUAUGCCAUUUUUUCUAUUUCUAGAAGCUCUUCCCAACAGGCCAACUUUCUUGCUGUUUUACUAUUGGUUAUAGCAGAAAUAAUAGUCACAUCACAAUAAACUUGUAUGCAUUAUUCUGACUGUUCUUGUUGUAAAUUUUAAAAGUGGAAAAGAAAAGUAGCAUAUAAUUUCUUGGUCAGAAUAUACUUGAUAUACAAAUGAAGAAUGUACACAAUGCUUUCCGUGUCAAUCAAACGUAAAACUAUCCCGAAGCUAAAAGGUAACCAAGAGACAUUCCAUAAAUUUGACAAAAAGAUGUAACUGCAACAAAAGUAAAACAUAUUAAUGAGUACUGGCACUGCAGGAUGUAAAUGCUUGAAUUUCAAUGUCCUGCUACUGAUGUACUUGGAAAAAGUAAGUUUUAAUUUGAUAGGAAAAUUGUGACCUUCAGGGCUGUGAAUGUAUUAAACUGAAGUUCACAAGGGAAGUUUGUUGACCAGACUGAAAAUCAAACUUGUGAAGUAGAGGACAUGAGUUUAGCUAUUUAAACACAUCUUGAUUCACUGACUUUCAGACAUCAUGUAAUCUACAAAAAGAUCUGCGCUCUCUCUCUCUCUCUCUCUCUCUCUCUCUCUCUCUCUCUCUCUCUCUCUCUCUAAGAUUUUUUUUUUUUUUUUUUUUUUUUUUUUUUUGUUAGAAUGACAUAUUGUUAUCAGUUUUCAAGAAAGCCUUUGAAGAUUUUGUUGUAGCUAUCAUAAACAGAUUUUUAUUCAACACAAGAAUAUGAAUAGGGAAGUACACAUUUGGAACUCAAAGCUGCAAAGUUACAAUACUGAGAAUUGUGUGACAUUGCAUGACUUGAGGAAACUCCAGAGAGACAGCAGAAUUCACUGAAAGCACACAUACGAUCUUAUAUAACACAGUCUACCGGUGAUAAUUCUUUGAUCAAAGAUGUUGUUUCAAGCACUUAUGAUAACUGUGUCUGACUACUUUACAUAACUGGUACUUUUGGGGAUGUGUUAAAUUCAUUGUAUUUCAAACUUCCUCUGUACCUCUUAGAGAGUAGUAACAGACUACAUAGACUUAAUAAGAACUUUUAAGAACCACCUUCCUUCUCUUUCUCGCAUUUUAACAUUAUGUAAAGUGAUGGAUGAUGAUCAACCAUUUUGAAAUUUUACUGUGUUUUCACAAAAACAUGAUCAUUUGCAAAUAAGUAUCUUAUUGUUAUAUUUUUAUAAUAUACAGUUACAUUUGUAUUAACUGCUUCAAAUAAAGGAGCAGGUCAUUAUGUUAGUUUUUCGCAUUGCACAUUCACUGUGUUUUUAACAAUGUAGUCAAAGGUUUAGUCUCUGUGGCCAAUGGUAACCUUAUAACUCUUAUGAUAUUAAUAGUCAUGGGCAGAAUUAUUGACUAUUUUCACAGACUACAUACACUAUUAUAUACUUUGCCUCAGUUAAUAAUUCAUUGAGAGAUUAUUUCACCAUUUUACAAUAAAAUAAUUGCUACUGAAGUCUCAGAAAGGGAAGUGAACUGUGCCCAGGAAAAUGUACCAAACAGGGUGGAAUAGGGGUAAGAUACUGGACUUGCACUAGUGCAGUUCAAAUCAUUGUUUAGUUAACCAGAUUCAGGUUUUUUCAGAGUUUCCGUGAACUGCUUAAGGCAAAGCAUGAUCAAUUUCUUUCCCCCUUUUUUAUUAUCCAAGCUUGUGCUUUGUCUUAAUGACGUCACUGUUAAACCUUAAUCUUCCUUUUCUAUCAUUAUCUACAAAAAGUAUUGUUUUCUUCAGUGUGUGCUGAGUGUUCUGCUAAGUUAUUCUUUCCGUUUUAUGCACACCAUUAAUCAAUCAAGCGAAAAAGCCUGAAAAAUCGUAUUAAAGUUAUACCAGUCAUUAAAGUUAGUUUUCAUGCAUGCUAUUGUCUUUGGUGGUAUUACUUGUGCGACGAUAGUCUUAGAAGAAUAUUCAUCUUUUGUGUCUUGCUAUUUUUAACAUUACCAUUCUCAAACACUGUCCAAUUUGAUAUCCUAGUCAAUAGCACAAAUACGGUAACAUUUUCUUCAAUAGAUCUCAUUACUUAAUUUUCCUGUUAUGCUUUUGUUCCUUGCAUACAUAAGAAUGAUAAUGUGCAACCAAACUUGGGAUAAUUCCAUGAGAAACAAAGUAUUUCACUUAUAUUUUCAGCAGAGACAAACAGCAUUUAUAGGUUGAACAGUGUGUCAUGCACCAGGCAGACAUGGAUGGCAAUUGCACAUGUAGUUAAUUUGAUAUUGUAAAAAAUUAAAAUUUAUGGAAGCCAGUUUCUGUUUUGCUCAUGUAGCAAAGAAGUGUUGAUCCUAAUAUUAACACUAAAAACAUUUUUUUACUGCAUGUAAUUUCUAAUGUGUUUCACAGUUCCUCAGAUGAAAUGUCAGAUACAGUCAUCAGACUUUUUCAUUUUAAUACUAAUUUAAUCUUUGUUGUUAAAUGAUUUCUACUUAAUGUAAUAUUUAAGAAUUAAAACUUGAACUGGAAAUUGUGUUAUAUUUUUCUGUGUGUUCAGAAUAAAGAAAUCUGAACUGCAGAUAUGGUGGCAGCUAUUAAGAUAACUUGUGCAAAGACCAAAAGACCUGUAAUUUAAUUCAGCCAGUUUUUGGUUUUAUUUUUCAUUGUAUUGGUGCAUAACAACAGUAUAAAAUCCUUAUGAAUGUAACAGAUGAAAUAAAGAUGUGCAAAAUAUGAAAA